This 1054-nucleotide ribosomal RNA is filed under the name uncultured organism. RNAcentral's name for it is "bacterial SSU rRNA". It matches the Rfam family "Bacterial small subunit ribosomal RNA", at positions 36 to 1082 of the family's 1533-position model. The record is from RNAcentral.
CUAGCGGUUGGCUUACACAUGCAAGUCGAGCGGCAGAUACUCGGGUAACUGAGAGAUGGCGAGCGGCGCACGGGUGAGUAACGCGUAGGCAACUUACCUCUUGCAGGAGGAUAGCCCGGCGAAAGCUGGAUUAAUACUUCGGAUAUAUUGUUAAGGCAUCUUAAUAAUAUUAAAGAUUUAUCGGUAAGAGAUAGGCCUGCGUCCCAUUAGCUAGUUGGUAAGGUAAAAGCUUACCAAGGCAAUAAUGGGUAGGGGGUUUGAAAGGAUGAUCCUCCACACUGGCACUGAGACACGGGCCAGACUCCUACGGGAGGCAGCAGUGAGGAAUAUUGCGCAAUGGGCGAAAGCCUGACGCAGCCAAACCGCGUGCAGGAAGACGGUCGUAAGAUUGUAAACUGCUUUAGUAUCCGAGGAACAAUCAGAACGAGUUUUUGAUUUGACAGUAGGAUACGAACAAGCACCGGCUAACUCCGUGCCAGCAGCCGCGGUAAUACGGAGGGUGCAGGCGUUAUCCGGAUUUACUAGGUUUAAAGGGUCUGUAGGCUGUAUAUUAAGUCAGUGGUGAAAUGUCUGAGCUUAACUGAGGACUUGCCAUUGAAACUGGUAUACUUGAGUAUGGUUGCUGUCGGCGGAAUGUAUUAUGUAGCGGUGAAAUGCAUAGAUAUGAUACAGAACACCAAUUGCGAAAGCAGCUGACAAAACCAGCACUGACGCUGAUAGACGAAAGCGUGGGGAGCGAACAGGAUUAGAUACCCUGGUAGUCCACGCAGUAAACUAUGGGCACUAGUUUCUGGCGAUAGACAGUCAGAGACAAAGCGAAAGCGUUAAGUGCCCCACCUGGGGGAUUACGUUCCGCAAGGAUGAAACUCAAAGGAAUUGACGGGGGCCCGCACAAGACGGAGGAACAUGUGGCUUACUUCGAUGAUACGCGAGGAAACUUACCUGGGGCUUAAAUGCUAAGGCGUCUACCGGGCGUAAGUCUGUAGAAAAUACAGCUUAUACUUGCAAGGUGCUGCAUGGUUGUCGUCAGCUCGUGCCGUGAGGUGUCGGGUUA